GACAGAGGGUGCAAACGUUGUUCGGAAUUACUGGGCGUAAAGCGCGUGUAGGCGGCAAGGCAAGUCGGGUGUGAAAGCCCUGGGCUCAACCCAGGAAGUGCAUUCGAUACUGCCAAGCUAGAGUCCCGGAGAGGAUGGUGGAACUCUCGGUGUAGAGGUGAAAUGCGCAGAUAUCAGGAGGAACACCGAUGGCGAAGGCAGGUCUCUGGGCCGAUACUGACGCUGAGGAGCGAAAGCGUGGGGAGCGAACAGG
RNAcentral lists this ribosomal RNA (253 nucleotides) under uncultured bacterium. RNAcentral's name for it is "partial 16S ribosomal RNA". It matches the Rfam family "Bacterial small subunit ribosomal RNA", at positions 524 to 776 of the family's 1533-position model. The record is from RNAcentral.